This 1495-nucleotide long non-coding RNA is filed under the name Sus scrofa (pig). RNAcentral's name for it is "lncRNA (ENSSSCG00050046585.1)". The record is from RNAcentral. Lineage: Eukaryota; Metazoa; Chordata; Mammalia; Artiodactyla; Suidae.
GCAGAGAGUCCAAAUACUGUGAUCACAAGUUUCUUGGGUUCUUUUUUCCUGCUCCCCCUUCUGUGGAUUAUUUUAUUCACUUAAAAGUAUUAUUAUUUGCUUCUAAUUGUAUUCAGUUUGGAGAGUUUUUCUGUCCUUGUGGAUUUUACUUGUUUUCUUUGAGUAUGUGAAACACUGACAUGUUUCCAACAAUCAAAUCUGUGCAAAAAAAAAAAAAAAAGCAUAUUCAGAGGAAUGUGAUUUUCUUUCCCACAUUCUCUUUGUCUUCCCCAUGGAGUUCUCUCCUUAUUCUGUAGGUAACCAAUCUGAUUUGUUUCUGGGUUUUCCUUCCUGUUUUAUCUUUUGCUCAACUAAGUACAUAAGUAUAUAUCUUAUUAUUUCCACUUCUUUCUUACCCAAAAGAUAUAAUGCUAUAGAUACUCUUUUGUACUUUGCUAAUCAUAUAGUUUUAAAGUCGAAUCAGACCUUCUCAUUUUAUUUCUAAGGUUAUUCUUUUUUUCUCUCUCUCUCUCUUUUUUUUGUCUUUUAGACAUUGGAUCAGCAACAGUUCUUCACAGAAGAAGAACUGAAAGAAUAUGAAAAUCUUAUCUCUGUACAAGAAACUGAACUUAAGAAAAAGGCAGAUGAGCUUCAGAAACAAAAAGAAGAGCUACAACGUCAGCAUGACCAACUUGAGGCUCAGAAGCUGGAAUAUCAUCAGGUGGUAUUUUGUAAAAGGCUCAUGGCAUUAAAAAAAAGAUUUUUAGGAGCUUCUGUCAUGGCUCAGUAGUUAAUGAACCUGACUAGUGUCCAUGAGGAUGAAAGUUCGAUCCCUGGCCUUGCUCAGUGGAUUAAUGAGCCUGCAUUGCCGUGAGCUGUGGUGUAUGUAGGUUGCAGAUGUGGCUCAGAUCUGGUGUUGCUGUGGCUGUGGCUGUGAUGCAGGCCAGUAGCUGCAGCUCUGAUUUGACCCCUCGCUUGGAAACCUUCGCAUGCCAAAGAUGUGGCCCUAAAAAAGACAAAAAAACAAAAGACAAAAAACAAAAAAAAAAAGAAAAGAUUUUUAGGUGCUUUGCUAAAAGCCUGUGUUUUUGUAAUAUAAUAUUUCAAUUAGCUGUAGCGUUUUAAAUUUUAGUAUUUUUUAAAAACUGCAUUGUUGAAUAUCAAUCUAAAUUUUAGAAUUUGAAUAUCUCAUUUUGAAAAACAAUGUUCAGUUAGUUUGUUGUGCUUUGUCAGGAGUCAUACAUAUCAGAGAAAAUCAAAUAGUACUUAUUUUUAAGAAAUUCUUUUUCCACUCACUAGGUUGUGCAGCAGAUGGAACAAAAAAAAUUACAAGCAAUUUCCCCAUCAGCCCCUGGUGGAGAAUCAAAGAUCCAGCCACACAUUUGAAGCUUGAAGUCCACCAGAACUUGAAGAAAAUUGUUAAAUCCUCAUCCGUGUCAUCUUUUUACCUCCCUUCCUUUUUCUCUGCUCAAUAAAUAUUUUAAAGCAUAUAUGGAAUAAAGGAUGAUACUUUUUA